This 693-nucleotide ribosomal RNA is filed under the name Saccharomyces pastorianus. RNAcentral's name for it is "LSU rRNA". It matches the Rfam family "Eukaryotic large subunit ribosomal RNA", at positions 1 to 649 of the family's 3401-position model. Lineage: Eukaryota; Fungi; Ascomycota; Saccharomycetes; Saccharomycetales; Saccharomycetaceae. The record is from RNAcentral.
GAGCGUAUUGAAACGUUAUCGAUAAGAAGAGAGCGUCUAGGCGAACAAUGUUCUUAAAGUUUGACCUCAAAUCAGGUAGGAGUACCCGCUGACUUAAGCAUAUCAUAAGCCGGAGGAAAGAAACCAACCGGGAUUGCCUUAGUAACGGCGAGUGAAGCGGCAAAAGCUCAAAUUUGAAAUCUGGUACCUUUGGUGCCCGAGUUGUAAUUUGGAGAGGGCAACUUUGGGACCGUUCCUUGUCUAUGUUCCUUGGAACAGGACGUCAUAGAGGGUGAGAAUCCCGUGUGGCGAGGAGUGCGGUUCUAUGUAAAGUGCCUUCGAAGAGUCGAGUUGUUUGGGAAUGCAGCUCUAAGUGGGUGGUAAAUUCCAUCUAAAGCUAAAUAUUGGCGAGAGACCGAUAGCGAACAAGUACAGUGAUGGAAAGAUGAAAAGAACUUUGAAAAGAGAGUGAAAAAGUACGUGAAAUUGUUGAAAGGGAAGGGCAUUUGAUCAGACAUGGUGUUUUGCGCCCUCUGCUCCUUGUGGGUGGGGGAAUCUCGCAGUUCAUCUGGGCCAGCAUCAGUUUUGGUGGCAGGAUAAAUCCGUAGGAAUGUAACUUGCUUCGGGAAGUAUUAUAGCCUAUGGGAAUACUGCCAACUGGGACUGAGGACUGCGACGUAAGUCAAGGAUGCUGGCAUAAUGGUACAUCCCUGG